AUUUCUUCAAAACACCUGUACAAGAAGUAUUAGUGCUUUCUAAUAAAGCUUCUGGAUACACAGCUAAGUCUAGUUUGGAUACAGCAUUCCAUAACAGAAUUUUAAUUUUUGGCAGUGCUAGGAAUAGUGAACCCAGGGCCUUGCAUACACUUGGAAAAUACUCUACCACUGUGCUACAUCCUCAGCUCAUAAGUUAUUAUUAAUCUGGGAGUUUGUCACAGAAAAUUAUAAUUGGGAUCUGAUUGUAGUGGCAAAAUAACAGGAGGGAAGAAAGAAGUCAUCAAUGAGAUUCUUUUUUAGUUUAGGAAGAUAAACUUAGAGAUAUAUGUAAGGUGCUGGGGGUGUAGCUUAGUGACAGAUCUAACAUGUGUGAGGACCUGGGUUCAACCUUCAUCACUGGAAAAAAAUAGGAAACAUAUGCAAAACAUGGGGAAUAAUGGGCUGGGGCUGUAGCUCAGUGGUACAGUGCUUGCAUAUCACAUGUGAGGCACUGGGUUCAAUCAGCACCACAUAAAAAUAAAUAAAAUAAAAUUAUAGUAACAAAAAACAUGGGAAUAGUGACCAAGAAGAAUUGAGAAG
RNAcentral lists this long non-coding RNA (579 nucleotides) under Marmota monax (woodchuck). Lineage: Eukaryota; Metazoa; Chordata; Mammalia; Rodentia; Sciuridae. The record is from RNAcentral.